This 462-nucleotide ribosomal RNA is filed under the name Colletotrichum cereale. RNAcentral describes it as "partial contains internal transcribed spacer 1, 5.8S ribosomal RNA, and internal transcribed spacer 2". The stretch from base 153 to 306 matches the Rfam family "5.8S ribosomal RNA". Lineage: Eukaryota; Fungi; Ascomycota; Sordariomycetes; Glomerellales; Glomerellaceae. The record is from RNAcentral.
GAACAUACCUAACUGUUGCUUCGGCGGGCAGGGGGUCCCCCCGGGGACGCCCUCCCGGCCCCGCCCCCCUACCAGGGGACGUGGCGCCCGCCGGAGGAUACCCAACUCUAUUUUAACGACGUUUCUUCUGAGUGGCACAAGCAAAUAAUUAAAACUUUUAACAACGGAUCUCUUGGUUCUGGCAUCGAUGAAGAACGCAGCGAAAUGCGAUAAGUAAUGUGAAUUGCAGAAUUCAGUGAAUCAUCGAAUCUUUGAACGCACAUUGCGCCCGCCAGCAUUCUGGCGGGCAUGCCUGUUCGAGCGUCAUUUCAACCCUCAAGCUCUGCUUGGUGUUGGGGCCCUACGGUUGACGUAGGCCCUCAAAGGUAGUGGCGGACCCUCCCGGAGCCUCCUUUGCGUAGUAACUAACGUCUCGCAUCGGGAUCCGGAGGGACUCUUGCCGUAAAACCCCCCAAUUUUUCA